UGACCGCUGGCGGCGUGCCUAAUACAUGCAAGUCGAGCGAACAGACGAGGAGCUUGCUCCUCUGACGUUAGCGGCGGACGGGUGAGUAACACGUGGAUAACCUACCUAUAAGACUGGGAUAACUUCGGGAAACCGGAGCUAAUACCGGAUAAUAUAUUGAACCGCAUGGUUCAAUAGUGAAAGACGGUUUUGCUGUCACUUAUAGAUUGAUCCGCGCCGCAUUAGCUAGUUGGUAAGGUAACGGCUUACCAAGGCAACGAUGCGUAGCCGACCUGAGAGGGUGAUCGGCCACACUGGAACUGAGACACGGUCCAGACUCCUACGGGAGGCAGCAGUAGGGAAUCUUCCGCAAUGGGCGAAAGCCUGACGGAGCAACGCCGCGUGAGUGAUGAAGGUCUUCGGAUCGUAAAACUCUGUUAUUAGGGAAGAACAAAUGUGUAAGUAACUAUGCACGUCUUGACGGUACCUAAUCAGAAAGCCACGGCUAACUACGUG
RNAcentral lists this ribosomal RNA (495 nucleotides) under uncultured bacterium. RNAcentral's name for it is "partial 16S ribosomal RNA". It matches the Rfam family "Bacterial small subunit ribosomal RNA", at positions 30 to 507 of the family's 1533-position model. The record is from RNAcentral.